This 215-nucleotide unclassified non-coding RNA is filed under the name fungal sp. Its description in RNAcentral is "partial internal transcribed spacer region". The stretch from base 1 to 46 matches the Rfam family "Eukaryotic small subunit ribosomal RNA", at positions 1786 to 1831 of the family's 1831-position model. Lineage: Eukaryota; Fungi. The record is from RNAcentral.
AAGUCGUAACAAGGUUUCCGUAGGUGAACCUGCGGAAGGAUCAUUAUCGUGGGGCUCCGGCCCCGUCGAGAUAGAACCCUUGCCUUUUUCGAGCACCGCCCGUUUCCUCGGCAGGUCCGCCUGCCAACGGGGACUCAACCAAACCCUUCGUAUCCCUGAAGCGUCUGAACAAAAACAAAUAAUCAAAACUUUCAACAACGGAUCUCUUGGUUCUG